Molecule: ribosomal RNA, 253 nt
Filed under: uncultured bacterium
Lineage: Bacteria
Description: partial 16S ribosomal RNA
Rfam family: Bacterial small subunit ribosomal RNA
Source: RNAcentral
UACAGAGGGGGCAAGCGUUGUUCGGAAUUACUGGGCGUAAAGGGCGCGUAGGUGGCCUUCUAAGUUGAACGUGAAAUCCCUGGGCUCAACCCAGGAACUGCGUCCAAGACUGGGAGGCUUGAAUCCGGGAGAGGGAUGCGGAAUUCCAGGUGUAGCGGUGAAAUGCGUAGAUAUCUGGAGGAACACCGGUGGCGAAGGCGGCAUCCUGGACCGGUAUUGACACUGAGGCGCGAAAGCCAGGGGAGCAAACAGG